GUCUGCAUUAUAGAACUUUCUCUUCCUGUGUCCAUUUGCUCAUGAGGCAAUGUUGCACACUCCACCAAGGGCUUACAUGCUAUAAUGCUUCAAGUUCAGCCAAAUUUCCUCUUCUUUUCUUUUUGUGAUAGCCGCCAUUUACGUUACACCCAAAUGCCCCCAUGCUCCUCCUUAAAACCGUCUCCAUUUCCCCGGGUGCCUCCCUCAGCAGGAGCCCCUGCUUUCACCUGCCUCUUGAGGGAAUCUUGUGCAAGCUCAGGUCUCCAAAGGCAACAUCUGGGUCCGGUCACCGAAGACAGAUGGGCUCCCUCUACUUCGUCCCCCAUCCCCGCGGGACCUCUGCCGGAGGCGCGGCAUGCUAUUUGAAUGUAAUGAUAUGCUGACUAAAUCGUUCCUGCACGGUGCGUGCCGAGUGCAUUCCUACUGUUAGAACCUAUUCUGUAUCUGUACAGGCCUCCUCAUUACGGAUGGCUUUCUCUAUCUCAAAACAUUCCUGGGAUUUCCAGAUGCUGCCAUUGAACAAAUUCUCAUUAUUUUGCUUCUGAUCCUUUAUACAGCCAAAUGGUCCUCCUCUGACAUUGCAGGGGGCCAAUUUCGUAAAAAUAAUCACUUUUGCUACUGUGGUUAUUAACCAAUAAAAGGUUGAGAAUCAA
Long non-coding RNA from Neofelis nebulosa (Clouded leopard), 653 nucleotides. RefSeq lists it as uncharacterized. NCBI's taxonomy places the organism in Eukaryota, Metazoa, Chordata, Mammalia, Carnivora, Felidae. The record is from RefSeq and is a predicted model, not a curated record. The transcript is spliced from 2 exons.